GAUAGUAUAGCUCCGUGGUAGAGUGUGUGCCUAACAUGCACAAAGUCCUGAGUUCGAAAUCCAGUACCUCCA
RNAcentral lists this transfer RNA (72 nucleotides) under Camelus bactrianus (Bactrian camel). It matches the Rfam family "tRNA". From Rfam's summary of the family: Transfer RNA (tRNA) molecules are approximately 80 nucleotides in length. Their secondary structure includes four short double-helical elements and three loops (D, anti-codon, and T loops). RNAcentral also lists the same sequence under 2 other names. The record is from Rfam by way of RNAcentral. Lineage: Eukaryota; Metazoa; Chordata; Mammalia; Artiodactyla; Camelidae.